Molecule: small nucleolar RNA, 234 nt
Filed under: Oxytricha trifallax
Lineage: Eukaryota; Ciliophora; Spirotrichea; Sporadotrichida; Oxytrichidae
Description: ACEA small nucleolar RNA U3
Rfam family: ACEA small nucleolar RNA U3
About the family: Small nucleolar RNAs (snoRNAs) are involved in the processing and modification of rRNA in the nucleolus. There are two main classes of snoRNAs: the box C/D class, and the box H/ACA class.
Source: Rfam by way of RNAcentral
AAGACUGUACUCGUACAGGAUCGUUUCUAUAGUAGAAACGUCUGAUUUGCACUAACAAAUUAGACAAUAAUCUAAUCCAGGAUGAUAAGAAAUACACAUCCACUCGUAAAGCGAGAUAAGUUCCUCCGCUGUGAUCGCCGCAAGGCUGAUUCGGUGCGAAGAGUGAAGACCGUCCUCUAGCCAGCUCUUCACAGAGCAGGCCAAGAGUGAGGGUGGAUGUGAGGUUGACUGGAC